Molecule: ribosomal RNA, 460 nt
Filed under: uncultured bacterium
Lineage: Bacteria
Description: partial 16S ribosomal RNA
Rfam family: Bacterial small subunit ribosomal RNA
Source: RNAcentral
CCUACGGGUGGCAGCAGUGAGGAAUAUUGGUCAAUGGACGAGAGUCUGAACCAGCCAAGUAGCGUGAAGGAUGACUGCCCUAUGGGUUGUAAACUUCUUUUAUAUGGGAAUAAAACGUUCCACGUGUGGGAUUUUGUAUGUACCAUAUGAAUAAGGAUCGGCUAACUCCGUGCCAGCAGCCGCGGUAAUACGGAGGAGCCGAGCGUUAUCCGGAUUUAUUGGGUUGAAAGGGAGCGUAGGUGGAUUGUUAAGUCAGUUGUGAAAGUUUGCGGCUCAACCGUAAAAUUGCAGUUGAAACUGGCAGUCUUGAGUACAGUAGAGGUGGGCGGAAUUCGUGGUGUAGCGGUGAAAUGCUUAGAUAUCACGAAGAACUCCGAUUGCGAAGGCAGUUCACUGGACUGCAACUGACACUGAGGCUCGAAAGUGUGGGUAUCAAACAGGAUUAGAUACCCUAGUAGUC